This 770-nucleotide long non-coding RNA is filed under the name Homo sapiens (human). RNAcentral's name for it is "CERS6 antisense RNA 1". Lineage: Eukaryota; Metazoa; Chordata; Mammalia; Primates; Hominidae. The record is from RNAcentral.
ACCUGAGAUCUUAUUGGGACGCUGCUGAUAACCAGUUUCAGAGACAGGGUUUCACCAUGUUGUACAGGCUAGUCUCCAACCCCUGGGCUUAAGCAAUCCUUCUGCCUCGGCCUCCCAAAGUGCUGGGAUUACAGAACCAAACUGGGACUGGAAAGUACACCAACAGCUCUCCUACCUCUCAGGUCUUUGGACUUAGACUGGAACUGUACCAUCAACUCUCCUGGUUUUACAGUUUGUAACCGAAGAUCUUGGGACUUCUCGGCCUCCAUCAUCUUGGCCUGCAGCACCCUCAAUUCUUGCCUUCUCAGAAGAAAGAAUUUGACUGCGGGGGCAUAAGGCAGAAUGAAAGACCAAGAGAUGCUCAAGCACUGAAUUGUCUUAAGAAAACAAGUAAGGUUUUGUCACCUAUCCUAUUUCUCACUGCAAGUUGAAAAAAAUCAAAUCCAAACACCACCACCCCUUCUAUGACAACAAACGGCUGUGGAGGUAAUCUUAUUUUCCUAAGGGUAGUUUCAUGAUGACAGUGUCAAAAAAUUACUGUGGAUAAAGAAAAAAUUGUCUCAAUGAAAUAGAAUUUUUCACUGAACACAGAAACCAUCUCAAUAGUUGCUGCUCCCUGGUUUCCAGGCCACGCAACAGACAUCAAACCAGGAAGCCAAACUUUCAUGGACCUGUGUUAAGAAAAACACACAUACAUGGGCAUACUACUUUUUCCAGAAAAACGGAAUUAGGCAGAGAAGGAAGUGUGGGUGUACAACUGAUCCACAAGC